Molecule: ribosomal RNA, 497 nt
Filed under: uncultured bacterium
Lineage: Bacteria
Description: partial 16S ribosomal RNA
Rfam family: Bacterial small subunit ribosomal RNA
Source: RNAcentral
GAUGAACGCUGGCGGCGUGCCUAAUACAUGCAAGUCGAGCGAACAGACGAGGAGCUUGCUCCUCUGACGUUAGCGGCGGACGGGUGAGUAACACGUGGAUAACCUACCUAUAAGACUGGGAUAACUUCGGGAAACCGGAGCUAAUACCGGAUAAUAUAUUGAACCGCAUGGUUCAAUAGUGAAAGACGGUUUUGCUGUCACUUAUAGAUGGAUCCGCGCCGCAUUAGCUAGUUGGUAAGGGAACGGCUUACCAAGUCAACGAUGCGUAGCCGACCUGAGAGGGUGAGCGGCAACACUGGAACUGAGAAACGGUCCAGACUCCUACGGGAGGCAGCAGUAGGGAAUCUUCCGCAAUGGGCGAAAGCCUGACGGAGCAACGACGCGUGAGUGAUGAAGGUCUUCGGAUCGUAAAACUCUGUUAUUAGGGAAGAACAAAUGUGUAAGUACCUAUGCACGUCUUGACGGUACCUAAUCAGACAGCCACGGCUAACUACGUG